AUUUUCCCAUGUUGUGAAUAAAAACUGAAUUCAGAGAAAUAUCCUGCUGCUGUGUACACAUUUUACCUAGAAAAAAUGUACUGUCUAAGACUACAAAACAAAAACUGAAAAAAAAAGAACUUGACCAUACAUUUGCCGUAAGGAAGAAUUAGAUACCUCAAAAAUAAGACUGAAGAAGAAACAUCUUGUUGUUCCCCUAUGGGAAAAUGUAGAAAAAAGUCAAAAAUUAGGAUGAAGAAAAAACUCUGAAGACUGAUGCUACUUGUGCUGAAGACUGAUGAAAACGCAUACAAAACCUGACAGUAACUUCAAUAAAAAACAAUGAUGGGAACAGAGAUCUUGCCAGAAUAGCAUACGACAACAAUUAUCUUCGAAAAGUUGUUUCUUAAACUCCGCCCUCGUAAAACAACCACUCCUUGGCUGCUACAGCCGCUGGAAGCGACACAGGUGUCAGUAGGCUUAUUAGCGCAGACCCACAAAAAAUGAUCUUCCUCCGUGAGUUGUAUCUUUGAGCGUCAAAAGCAUGUAUCUGUUGUGAUGGGAUUCAACACCACUGACGCCCCAUUUGGUCCAUUUCCAGCGUGCAUCUGAUCUGUAAAAAAUGAAGUGAAGCAAUAAAUAUGAAGGCCAAAUUAGUAAGAUGACAAAAUGCAGAUAAACUGAAAACUGUAUGAACAAACUUGCUAACCUACCUGGGAUUUCUUGACAAACUAAGCAACUAGGAUGGACAGCUUUAUUCGAGAAGAUCGAACAAGGACUGAAGUAGCUGAAGGUCUGAAUACUCAUAAAUAAGAAAACAGUCUAGAUAAGCAGAACAAAUUUUUCGUGGUUGUAGGCUGUGGUGGACUUAGGUCUGAAACAAUGAAUACUAAAUUAAGACUGAACAGUGAAUACUAACUAACCUACCUAUGUGGUAACACACAAAACUGAACAAAAUGACACCUAACACUGAAACUAAUAACAUAACUAAAAAAUGACACUAACCCCUGAGAGUACUUAAAAUGACACUAGUGUGGGAGAAGUUGUUGAGUAAGUGUGGGACAACUUUGGCUCGGAGAUGUGAAAUAUAACCUACAGGUACAAAAAUAAAGGUAAGAAAAUGAUCAGGACUCAUUGGAAAAUGACAGAGUGAGUAAGCACUAGGGACUCAGACUGAUUGACUAAAAACUGAUAGACUAAAAAAGGAAAUGAAUGCAACAAGUAAUGACUAAAUGAGAAAAACAAAUCUAAGAAAAAGCUAAAGUUUAUAUAAUUCUAUCAGCUAAAAGGACUAAGUUUGUAUCUGAAGCAGGAAAAAACUGAAUUCAUACACAAACUAAAGAAGAAAUGAAAUGUUUAACUGAACAGGACAACUAUCAUGCUAUCAUAAAACAUACAUGGAGGUGUUGGUAAUAUCCACAUCAUAGCCUUGUAAAAAUGAGUGAUGAAUGAAAAAUGAAACAUAACAAGAACUAGACUGUAGUGAUAAAUGAAUAACUGACCAUGACAGUGAACUAGACUAUAGUGAUAAAUUUUUUUGAAACAGAACUAUAGUGAUAAAUUGAACAUAUUCAAAACUAAGUUACCACUCAGCUUUCAAAGUCCUCAGACAACCAAACCCCAAAAUUUAGACGCGAUGAGCGACGGUCAGCGCAGUCGGACCUGCAGAUUGGGUACGCCAUCCCCGUUACAUAUGUAGCAGAGAAAAAACUAUUUUUUUAGCAAAAAGAUGACUGAAAAACUAAGAACAGAGACUCACCAGAUAACUAAUUUAAACUACAGGAAUUAUAAACACAUAUCAAGUCUAACAAAUUUAAAAUGAAUGCCGAAAAUACAGGAAUAACAUCAUAAAGUGAAAAUAAUAAGCUGAAUGGAAACUAACUAGUUAGAAUAAUAAAUGACUUAACUUAAAACUGAUAGACUAGAACAAACACUGACCAAAUAACUGAAGAGAACUAAAAUGAGACACUUAAGAUACUAAACAAACACCGACCAAAUAACUAAUCACUUAAUAUACAGUUGAAGAGAACUAAAACUGAUACUUUAGAGUACUGAUGACUAAAAACUGAAAAUAAUCUAGCAAAAAAACCAGUGCAAAAAACUGAAAACCAAAAACUAAAAACUUAGGACUUACAGGAACAUAAGGUUCAAAACAGAAAUAAUCAUCUACUAAAAGACAAGACUCAUGAGAGAUAGGAGUGAAGAAAGAUGCAAAUGAUAACUAAAUAUGAUAAAAAUGAGGACUGAUACUAUUACCAAAACUAACAUAAGACUGAGAAGGCAAGCUUACAAACUGAGGAAGAAAAACACCAAUUGCUGGAACAAAAUUAUAGAAAGGUACUGAAAACGGAAGACUAGACUACAGAAACACUGAAAACAAAGAUUCUAAAGACACAGAAAACUGAAGAACUAGAGAUAGAGAGAAAAGAGGGCUGAAUAAACAAGACAAAAAAGGUGGUUGAAUAGUAAGGUGACUCAAGAAACACUGAAAAGUGAAGGAUUGAAGACAGAGAAAAGAAAUCUGAAGAAAUAAACAAUUACUAAAGACUGAAGAAAGAUGACUGAAAAUAUAUAUGAAAUAGUUACUGAUGACAGGAUGAAGAAGAGAUGUAAUGGGCAAGGUAUGCAAACAGAUGAAUGAAGCAAUUCCAACAGGACAAUAGGGACCCUAACCACUAUAUGGCGCAGAGUGGAGGUGACAGUUUGACUGUCGAGCUAUUGAAUCCUACUAUAGCCUGACAAUUUGUCUAACCUCCCUGAUUGGAUAAGUGAUUUUCAGGCACUGUAGUUAAAAAAAAUAUGAAGUGAAGUUUGCAGCAGUUGAAAUUCAUUUUAAACGAUAGCCAUUGCCAGAAGAACUAAACAAAAAAGUAGGCCCUUUCGCCUUUGAGACACAUCGAUCUUUCACAACUAGCGCGCAACCUAGCCGACCCGUCUCCUGGUAGAUGUUGAUUUCUUCGCGUGUGUUCAAAGAAACUAAUUUAGGGGUGCUCUGGUUUUUUUACUGUUAGGCUGACCCCUGAAAAAAUUGACUUCGAACACACCUUAAUUGGAGGCACUACAAUGAAAGAAAAAUCGCUGUCUACUGAAAAAUGAACGCCCAUGAACCUGCACUACAGCAAAAAAGAAACCUACACCGAAAAGCAACCAGUGUUCAUGCAGGAAAAAGGCCUAAACCUACAAAAAGCAUACUGAAAAAUUAUAAUAGCCAAUACAUAACAGGUAACAGGAAAAAUUCAGAUCUGUCUGUUUUAGCGUGAAUAAAUCACGCCAAAAAAUAACCGUGAGCUUGCUCACAAAAGUCGGGCGUGAGAAGCAAAACCAUCUCCAUAAUGAAGGAAAUAUUUAAGCUGAAUAAUGUACAGAACAUGGUAAAAAAAACUGAAUAAUCUAGUACCAAAAGCUAGCUCUCAUUCACUAAACUGAAAAAUGAUAAGUACAGAAAAUAUAGAUUGUGCGCAUGUAACAUGUUUUCAUCAUGGAAGAUGCUACCGAAGAAAAUAGGAUUCAGAACAUUCCUUCGUCCAUGCUUACAUCAACAGAAAGCAGACGAAAAUGCCGCCUGAACCAUUACUGAACAUUGCAUAGACCCUCCCACAAAAAAAUAAAAUCACCAGCAAAUGCCUAAAAAACUCAAAUACCUACUUCCACACAUGCAACACAUGUGCAGUUUUUAAAAGACUGCAGAGGAGCCGAACCGCAGAUCUACAUCCAACACUUCGUAGUCAACUUAAUGGAAUGUUUUGUUUAGUGGUGAAAUUGACACUCAACACUUCUUUGAACCGGAGAUCUAGAUCCAGAAAAACAACAAGCCGGACUUGGCGAUGAAAUUUGGGGAUUGACUGACACACACGCAUAGGUGGCUGCAAAAUAUUCAGGAUCGUUUCUCAUGAACCACUCAAAAUCGCAGAUGUGAACUAAGCUAUCGCAAAACGUUCCUACCCAAAAACCAGCUAAUCGAACAACCCCUGCGACAUGGCUCUAUGCCCGGCGACCACGACGAUGAACUGAAUCAAACACAGAAAGAGGCAGAUCAGAUAGAACAAACAAAAAAAAUGGACAAACCUAGGACAACAGGGAGACGGAAGUAUACCUUGCGCCCCACCGACGCCGGCAAAUACUACCUCCCCCAGCAUGGGUGCUUGUUGGCCGCGAGCACGACGGGGAGCUCCGCUGAGUUCCUCUCCAGCCCGCGGCCCUCUCUGUGACGCACGCCUCCAGCAAUCAAGCGCCACGCUCCAUCUCCGGUUGGCCGACCAACCGCUAAUCACCGGCGAGGAGGCCCCUUCCCUCCGCCGUCUCCGCCCGCCUCGGCCAACCCCUUCCAAUCCCCUCCCCGGCUAGGACAAAGGCCGCCGCCCUUCG
RNAcentral lists this long non-coding RNA (4344 nucleotides) under Triticum aestivum (bread wheat). RNAcentral's name for it is "long non-coding RNA (TAES_LNC015393)". Lineage: Eukaryota; Viridiplantae; Streptophyta; Magnoliopsida; Poales; Poaceae. The record is from RNAcentral.